RNAcentral lists this long non-coding RNA (1426 nucleotides) under Equus asinus (donkey). RNAcentral describes it as "lncRNA (ENSEASG00005028480.1)". Lineage: Eukaryota; Metazoa; Chordata; Mammalia; Perissodactyla; Equidae. The record is from RNAcentral.
CUGACAAAAUUUCAAACAUUUGUGACAUCCACAUAGAACAUUCAAAAGCAUUCCAGUGGCAGCUCGCACGUCAUCCAUCAGUUCCUCUGAGAACAGGCAGAGCUCUUUACUGUGAUGUCUCGCUGGUCCCCUGAUAACCUCUGAUCUUGCCUGGGAUGCAUCCGCCGCAGCAAUCACAACCCUCCACGGUUUUCCAAGUUAACAGCUUAGUACGUUUGAGAAAAUCCAAAUUUUGUAUCUUUUCAAAUGGAAGGCCGUGUGGUAAAGUGAAAAGAGCAGUGGACUUGGUAUCAGGAGUAAGAAGAACCAACAAUGAUGAAUACAUCGAUGACGUGCCAGGUGCAAGUAGUCUAUAAAUGAGUAUCUUUGGAACUGCACUUGCAAGGAACAUGCUUUGAGAAAUAAUUUUCUUCACACCAAAGGCCUCGCCGCUCUGCAGUGUCUGCCAACAUGCGUUCAUUCCUUCACGGAGUCAACAGGCAACAAUCAGAAAAAAAUAUAAAUUAUGUUUCCUCCCCAAGUAUCUUCUAAAGCACAAUCAUGAAAUACGGAAGUGUGAUGUCAAAAUCAUCAACAUUUGCAGGACUUUUAAGCCCUGAAACAAUAUUGCCCAUCAUUGCUGCUUCCCGGCGGUUUACUGCUGUUACACAGAAAGUGUCAUGAUGCUGGGGACCAGUGAAGACGUUUCAGAUGUCCCAGACUGCUGCAAGAGUGAAAGUUGGAGGGGACUGUGGAAGAUCUUGAGGCACAGAUGAGCAACACUCCAUCUGGUCAGUCAUCAAAAAAGUUCUGAAGAUCACUGAGUGAAAAAUGCAUUCACUGGACAUGGAUAGGAAAAACAGCCAGUCUACUUAGUCCCUGGGCACAAGAAAUGGACAGUAUUGGGAGGCUGGAGCACAGCAUAAGGAAAUAAUUAGAAAUGCAGUCAAAGAAUUAUGUACCAGGAUGUUCACAGAAGCAUUAUUUAAAAUUGAAGAACAAGCCAAAAAAAAAAAAUUGGACUCAAACCAAAUAGCCCAAAAUAGGGGAUGGUUAAAUAAGAUGGACUAUUAAACAGACAUUAAAUAUCAUGUUUUCAGAAUAUAUUUAAUUAAAUGGAAAAAAACACAUAUGAUACACUCUAAAGUUUAAAAGCAUGCACAGCUGUAUAUACAAUAUGUUUUAAAUCAGUGUCAAAAACGUUACGUUAAAAAUGAGCUGAAACUUGUGAAAAAUACUUAGGAUGAUAUAAAGUACUUUUCCAUCAUAUUGUAAGCAAUGAGGAAAGAAAAGGCAGGAAGAGAAGGACCCUAUUGCUUGCAGAAGAGAGCAAUUUCCUAACAGACAAUAGAAUUUAUUUUUCUCCAGCAAGGAAAAUUAUCUUCAAGUUCUAAAAAUAAAAAAUACAAUAAAAAUAUUAAAAUUUCAACCCAAAAUGGUGAGGAAG